GACGUAGGGCGCGAGCGUUGUCCGGAUUUAUUGGGCGUAAAGAGCUCGUAGGCGGCCUGUCGCGUCGUCCGUGAAAACCCGGGGCUCAACCCCGGGCCUGCAUUCGAUACGGGCAGACUAGAGUUCGGUAGGGGAGUCUGGAAUUCCUGGUGUAGUGGUGAAAUGCGCAGAUAUCAGGAGGAACACCGGUGGCGAAGGCGGGACUCUGGGCCGAUACUGACGCUGAGGAGCGAAAGCGUGGGGAGCAAACAGG
This 253-nucleotide ribosomal RNA is filed under the name uncultured bacterium. Its description in RNAcentral is "partial 16S ribosomal RNA". It matches the Rfam family "Bacterial small subunit ribosomal RNA", at positions 524 to 776 of the family's 1533-position model. The record is from RNAcentral.